Transfer RNA from Ferrimonas balearica DSM 9799, 73 nucleotides. It matches the Rfam family "tRNA". From Rfam's summary of the family: Transfer RNA (tRNA) molecules are approximately 80 nucleotides in length. Their secondary structure includes four short double-helical elements and three loops (D, anti-codon, and T loops). Further hydrogen bonds mediate the characteristic L-shaped molecular structure. tRNAs have two regions of fundamental functional importance: the anti-codon, which is responsible for specific mRNA codon recognition, and the 3' end, to which the tRNAs corresponding amino acid is attached (by aminoacyl-tRNA synthetases). tRNAs cope with the degeneracy of the genetic code in two manners: having more than one tRNA (with a specific anti-codon) for a particular amino acid; and 'wobble' base-pairing, i.e. permitting non-standard base-pairing at the 3rd anti-codon position. The record is from Rfam. Lineage: Bacteria; Pseudomonadati; Pseudomonadota; Gammaproteobacteria; Alteromonadales; Ferrimonadaceae.
GGGUCGUUAGCUCAGUUGGUAGAGCAGUUGGCUUUUAACCAAUUGGUCGAAGGUUCGAGUCCUUCACGACCCA